RNAcentral lists this ribosomal RNA (479 nucleotides) under uncultured bacterium. Its description in RNAcentral is "partial 16S ribosomal RNA". It matches the Rfam family "Bacterial small subunit ribosomal RNA", at positions 28 to 507 of the family's 1533-position model. The record is from RNAcentral.
GAUGAACGCUGGCGGCGUGCUUAACACAUGCAAGUCGAGCGAGAAGUUUUGAAAAGAUUCUUCGGAUGAAAUUUAAAAUGGAAAGCGGCGGACGGGUGAGUAACGCGUAGGCAACCUGCCCCAUACAAAGGGAUAGCAUUUGGAAACGAAUAUUAAUACCUUAUGAAACUUAACUAGUGCAUGCUAGGUAGGUCAAAGAUUUAUCGGUAUGGGAUGGGCCUGCGUCUGAUUAGCUAGUUGGUGAGGUAACGGCUCACCAAGGCGACGAUCAGUAGCCGACCUGAGAGGGUGAACGGCCACAUUGGAACUGAGACACGGUCCAAACUCCUACGGGAGGCAGCAGUGGGGAAUAUUGCACAAUGGGGGAAACCCUGAUGCAGCAACGCCGCGUGAACGAUGAAGGCCUCUGGGUCGUAAAGUUCUGUUCUAGGUGAUGAAAACUGACAGUAACCUAGGAGAAAGCCCCGGCUAACUCCGUG